This 442-nucleotide ribosomal RNA is filed under the name uncultured bacterium. Its description in RNAcentral is "partial 16S ribosomal RNA". It matches the Rfam family "Bacterial small subunit ribosomal RNA", at positions 339 to 795 of the family's 1533-position model. The record is from RNAcentral.
CUACGGGUCGCAGCAGUCGAGAAUCUUCCGCAAUGGGCGCAAGCCUGACGGAGCAAUGCCGCGUGAGGGAUGACGGCCCUAGGGUUGUAAACCUCUGUCAGAAGGGACGAAGAACGUGACGGUACCUUCAGAGGAAGCCAUGGCUAACUACGUGCCAGCAGCCGCGGUAAUACGUAGAUGGCGAGCGUUAUUCGGAUUUACUGGGCGUAAAGGGUCCGUAGGGGGUCUGCCAAGUCUGAUGUGAAAUCCUGCGGCUCAACCGCGGAACUGCAUUGGAAACUGGCGGACUAGAGUGUGCGAGGGGUGAGCGGAAUUCCUGGUGUAGCGGUGGAAUGCGUAGAUAUCAGGAAGAACACCGAUGGCGAAGGCGGCUCACUGGCGCAUCACUGACCCUGAGGGACGAAAGCGUGGGUAGCAAACAGGAUUAGAUACCCGCGUAGUC